Molecule: ribosomal RNA, 329 nt
Filed under: uncultured eukaryote
Lineage: Eukaryota
Description: partial 18S ribosomal RNA
Rfam family: Eukaryotic small subunit ribosomal RNA
Source: RNAcentral
CCCUUAGAUGUUCUGGGCCGCACGCGCGCUACACUGAUGCAUUCAACGAGUCUAAAACCUGCUCUGAUAGGGGUGGGUAAUCUUUUGAAUGUGCAUCGUGAUUGGGAUAGAUGAUUGCAAUUUUUCAUCUUCAACGAGGAAUGCCUAGUAAACGCAAGUCAUCAGCUUGCAUUGAUUACGUCCCUGCCCUUUGUACACACCGCCCGUCGCUCCUACCGAUUGAAUGAUCCGAUGAAUAUCAUGGAUUGAGGAUUAUAGCAGGUUCGCCUGUCUUGAUCUUCGAGAAGUGAAGUAAAUCCUAUCAUUUAGAGGAAGGAGAAGUCGUAACA